CAGUAGCCGCGGGAAUACGUAGGUGGCAAGCGUUGUCCGGAAUUAUUGGGCGUAAAGGGCUCGCAGGCGGUUUCUUAAGUCUGAUGUGAAAGCCCCCGGCUCAACCGGGGAGGGUCAUUGGAAACUGGGAAACUUGAGUGCAGAAGAGGAGAGUGGAAUUCCACGCGUAGCGGUGAAAUGCGUAGAGAUGUGGAGGAACACCAGUGGCGAAGGCGACUCUCUGGUCUGUAACUGACGCUGAGGAGCGAAAGCGUGGGGAGCGAACAGGAUUAGAUACCCCCGUAGUCCCUGUCUCUUAUAC
This 301-nucleotide ribosomal RNA is filed under the name uncultured bacterium. RNAcentral's name for it is "partial 16S ribosomal RNA". It matches the Rfam family "Bacterial small subunit ribosomal RNA", at positions 509 to 807 of the family's 1533-position model. The record is from RNAcentral.